AGAACAUAUAUUCAAACAUUUGAAUGUCAUUCCUAAAUACUGCACAAUUUCUAGUGUUAUAGAAACUAGCUAGAUUUACAUGGGAAUAGCUGUGUUGGUAGUAAGUGAGACAUAUUGAGAGGUAAAUAGACAUGUAGCAAGAUUCAGUGACUGCAACUUACAGAGCGUUAGUUAUGAUGAACUAUAAACAUAUUGUGUAGUCAAACUAUCUCAUGG
This is a non-coding RNA of Pelobates cultripes (western spadefoot toad), 216 nucleotides long. Lineage: Eukaryota; Metazoa; Chordata; Amphibia; Anura; Pelobatidae. The record is from the annotation of a GenBank genome assembly.